Molecule: long non-coding RNA, 496 nt
Organism: Hipposideros armiger (great roundleaf bat)
Lineage: Eukaryota; Metazoa; Chordata; Mammalia; Chiroptera; Hipposideridae
Exons: 2
Source: RefSeq, a predicted model, not a curated record
UUGAUUGUUAUGCUUUGUUACAGGCAUUCCUCAUUUUACUGCACUUUGUUUUAUUUCACUUUCCAGAUACUGCGUUUUUAUCAACAUUGAGGCAAGGCCCACACCAGCAAAAAGAUUAUGACAUGCUGAAGACUCAGAUGAGUAGCAUUUUUUUUGAACAAUAAAGUGUUUUUAAUGAAGGACUAAUUCAGAAGUAUGCUAGCCCUGGCUCAAACUGGCUCAGGAGAGCAGAUUGUGCCCAUCUCUUCCCAACUACAUGUUCAAUAGUUGGUAGCUGGAAAUGGGCCAUCGUGGAAGCAUUUACAUGAUAGAAAGUAGCAAAGGCUACAGAACAGGACUUUUGUCCUGUGAAGAGCAGCACACCAAUGAUCAGUACUUUCUCUUCCUGGACAAUGCACAGGUCUUAGAAUACCUUGACUCUUGUUAUCCUCCACAGUUAUAUGCUGUUCUUGUCAUUCAUUUUAAUUCUAUAGUAAAUAUCACAUAUUUACCACUU